Molecule: unclassified non-coding RNA, 1257 nt
Filed under: Hevea brasiliensis (rubber tree)
Lineage: Eukaryota; Viridiplantae; Streptophyta; Magnoliopsida; Malpighiales; Euphorbiaceae
Source: RNAcentral
GUUCAUAGAUAUUUAAUAAUGGCCAGUGAGAAGUACGCCACAUGAUACUCCCAUCUUAGAAACAUGCAUUUAGUUUCAAUUCAAAGCCAUUGAUCAGAUUCCUCUGGCAGCUCAUCACAUGUGGGCCGUCGCAAUUCUCAGCUCUGCCUGCUGCAUGUGCCCUGUUCUCUCACUUACUCAUUCUGAUCCACAAAGUCAUGGAACUGGAGCUUUUUCAGGCUUUGUUGUGCUUUAGUAUUUGUGGAAGGAACGGAAUUAGUUAUCUUCCAGGGGGAGAAAAUGAAGCAGCUAAAAUUUUGUCAGUAACACAUAUAAUGUCACCAUUUACAUUAAAAUUUAACAGGUCCAUAGUAAUUAACAUUAAACUAGACCCAAAAGUAGGCAAAGAAAGUUGACAUGAAGUAAAAGAACUGAUAAGAAAAUUCAACACAUUAGACAAUCCUACAGAACAUAGACAAGCUUGAGCUACCACAUUUCUCUUCUCACCUCACCUUUCUAAUCUACCCUUCUUAAGGGGAAACAAAGGUGGCAAAGAACUGCUCUUCACCGGCGUGCAAAUAGGCACAUUUAUCAUUGGCCUUAUCCUAAUAGUAGCUGAUCUUGUUCUCUCCAAUCCUUUCUUCAUCCUUUUCCCUUGCUUCUCCCUGUUUCCAGAGGCUUCUUUCCCUUCUUCUGUGGUAACGAUAUCGGCUAGGGAGCUAGAAGAAGAUGAUGUUGAGGAAGAAGAUGAUGAUGGUGAGAGAGAAGAAGCCCGUUGCUUCUUUAACCUUAGCAGUUCUUUCCAGAGAACAGUGCAUUUUGGAGGCCUUGGAGACGGGUCAUCAUCAACAAACCAACUUACCCUAGGCUCCUCCUUGUUCACCUCCUCUUCUUCUUCUUCUUCCUCCACACUUACUUUACUUUUGAGGCUGAUUUUAUGGAGUUUCUCAGAUUGCUGCAUUUGCCAAAAGGGAAGUAACUUCCCUUCAAAAAAAAGCUCGUCCGCAGUUGAAAUGGCGUGGCUACUCACGUUGCUUGAAAGGAACUCAAAUUCUGCAUUUCUUGCCUUCUCUCUUUCCAUUUCUUGGUCUUUUUCAGUCUGCAGGGUGUUUGGACUAAUGGAAAUGAAGUUGUUUUCAUCAAGAAAUUCUGCAGAGAAAGAAAUUCUAGGACUCGAAGUUUGAUCAAUGGAUCUAGAGGUUGCUUGAACCGUUUCUAGGGAGACCAUUUUGAACGUCCAAGAAGAAGAAGAAGAAAGUUUGUGGAGUUGGGCGUGGU